AAGUCGUAACAAGGUUUCCGUAGGUGAACCUGCGGAAGGAUCAUUAACACUGUUUUUUCACAAAAUAGUUUAAAAACUCAACAUUCGUGAACAGGAAUUCUUUUGAGAAUUCCUCCCUCUCCCCUAUUUUUUAAAAACCCCAAACCUUUUCUCUUUUUACUUUUUUCCUUUGAUGGAAGAAAUUGAACUGAACAAAAAACCACAACAAAAACAAAAAAAUUCACUUUUUUUUGUUCGAGUUAAUGAAAUGCUGAACAACUCUUAACAACGGAUAUCUUGGUUCUC
RNAcentral lists this unclassified non-coding RNA (285 nucleotides) under fungal sp. RNAcentral describes it as "partial internal transcribed spacer region". The stretch from base 1 to 46 matches the Rfam family "Eukaryotic small subunit ribosomal RNA", at positions 1786 to 1831 of the family's 1831-position model. The record is from RNAcentral. Lineage: Eukaryota; Fungi.